RNAcentral lists this ribosomal RNA (367 nucleotides) under uncultured organism. Its description in RNAcentral is "bacterial LSU rRNA". It matches the Rfam family "Bacterial large subunit ribosomal RNA", at positions 2099 to 2465 of the family's 2925-position model. The record is from RNAcentral.
CUUUACUGCAGCUUCGCAGUGGCGCCAGGAAGGGACUGUGUAGGAUAGGUGGGAGGCUUUGAAGCCGGGGCGCUAGCCUUGGUGGAGCCAACCUUGAAAUACCACCCUGUGCCUUUCUGGCGUCUAACCGAACCCCGUUAUCCGGGGUCGGGACCCUGCGUGGUGGGCAGUUUGACUGGGGCGGUCGCCUCCCAAAGUGUAACGGAGGCGCGCGAUGGUGGGCUCAGGCCGGUCGGACAUCGGCUGUUGAGUGCAAAGGCACAAGCCCGCCUGACUGCGAGCGCGACAGCGCGAGCAGAGACGAAAGUCGGCCUUAGUGAUCCGGUGGUCCCGCGUGGAAGGGCCAUCGCUCAACGGAUAAAAGGUA